Molecule: ribosomal RNA, 473 nt
Filed under: uncultured bacterium
Lineage: Bacteria
Description: bacterial SSU rRNA
Rfam family: Bacterial small subunit ribosomal RNA
Source: RNAcentral
UGGCGGCAUGCCUUACACAUGCAAGUCGAACGGCAGCGACGGGAGCAAUCCUGGUGGCGAGUGGCGAACGGGUGAGUAAUAUAUCGGAACGUGCCCAGUCGUGGGGAUAACGUAGCGAAAGCUACGCUAAUACCGCAUACGAUCUAUGGAUGAAAGCGGGGGAUCGCAAGACCUCGCGCGAUUGGAGCGGCCGAUAUCAGAUUAGGUAGUUGGUGAGGUAAAGGCUCACCAAGCCGACGAUCUGUAGCUGGUCUGAGAGGACGACCAGCCACACUGGGACUGAGACACGGCCCAGACUCCUACGGGAGGCAGCAGUGGGAAUUUUGGACAAUGGGCGCAAGCCUGAUCCAGCAAUGCCGCGUGCAGGAUGAAGGCCUUCGGGUUGUAAACUGCUUUGUACGGAACGAAACGGUGAGCUCUAAUACAGUUUGCUAAUGACGGUACCGUAAGAAUAAGCACCGGCUAACUACGUG